This 244-nucleotide ribosomal RNA is filed under the name uncultured bacterium. Its description in RNAcentral is "partial 16S ribosomal RNA". It matches the Rfam family "Bacterial small subunit ribosomal RNA", at positions 92 to 334 of the family's 1533-position model. The record is from RNAcentral.
CGAGUGGCGAACGGGUGAGUAACGCGUGAGGAACCUGCCUCAAAGAGGGGGACAACAGUUGGAAACGACUGCUAAUACCGCAUAAGCCCACGACCCGGCAUCGGGUAGAGGGAAAAGGAGCAAUCCGCUUUGAGAUGGCCUCGCGUCCGAUUAGCUAGUUGGUGAGGUAACGGCCCACCAAGGCAACGAUCGGUAGCCGGACUGAGAGGUUGAACGGCCACAUUGGGACUGAGACACGGCCCAG